This 76-nucleotide transfer RNA is filed under the name Bryobacterales bacterium. Its description in RNAcentral is "Solibacterales bacterium tRNA-Thr". It matches the Rfam family "tRNA". From Rfam's summary of the family: Transfer RNA (tRNA) molecules are approximately 80 nucleotides in length. Their secondary structure includes four short double-helical elements and three loops (D, anti-codon, and T loops). The record is from RNAcentral. Lineage: Bacteria; Pseudomonadati; Acidobacteriota; Terriglobia; Bryobacterales.
GCCACGGUAGCUCAGUUGGUAGAGCAGCGGUUUCGUAAACCGCAGGUCGUCGGUUCGAAUCCGACCCGUGGCUCCA